This 207-nucleotide ribosomal RNA is filed under the name uncultured Eubacteriales bacterium. RNAcentral's name for it is "uncultured Clostridiales bacterium partial 16S ribosomal RNA". It matches the Rfam family "Bacterial small subunit ribosomal RNA", at positions 568 to 775 of the family's 1533-position model. The record is from RNAcentral. Lineage: Bacteria; Bacillati; Bacillota; Clostridia; Eubacteriales.
UGCGUAGGUGGCCAUGUAAGCGCGGGGUGAAAGGCAAUAGCUUAACUAUUGUAAGCCUUGCGAACUGUAUGGCUUGAGUGCAGGAGAGGAAAGUGGAAUUCCUAGUGUAGCGGUGAAAUGCGUAGAUAUUAGGAGGAACACCAGUGGCGAAGGCGACUUUCUGGACUGUAACUGACACUGAGGCACGAAAGCGUGGGGAGCAAACAG